Molecule: long non-coding RNA, 1969 nt
Organism: Rattus norvegicus (Norway rat)
Lineage: Eukaryota; Metazoa; Chordata; Mammalia; Rodentia; Muridae
Source: RefSeq, a predicted model, not a curated record
CUCUCUUCCACAUUUCAACUUUCCUCAACAGCAGUGCUGUUAACACAAGGGCAUACUAAUCUCCUGAGACUCUGCCUCCUGUCUGUCACCCACAGGUAGAAUUGCUGGCUAAGACAAUACUUUUUAUUUACUUACUUACUUUUGGAGGAAUCUUCAUAUUGUCUCUCACAGUGACUGAGCCAUUUUACAUUUCUCCACAUAUUUAUCAGCGGCUUCCAUGCUGACGAUGUUCUUUUAACAGUAGCUAUCUUCAAUUAAAAAGCGCUCCAGCCGUGUUAGUUACCAAGAAGGUAGAAGAACGGAAGCGAAGGAAACAGACAGCAGAAGAGAGCUUGAAGAUGUAUAGUGUUCAGUCAAGGUGUGAGGAGGACUCACCUGUCCAUUGAGGAAGUAAAUUUUAAAAUCACAAGAGGGGGUGAAGCCAAAGCUAAAAUGCCUCCCAGGGCUAGGUGUUGGAGAGGAUAGGUAGGCUCCCUCGGUGAGCUUGCAGACACUAUGGCUGAAGAAGUACACCCAGUUCUACUCCUGCACCGCAAGCCAACAGCGUUGUUCCCAGGCCGUGCAAGACCAUGAGGAAAUGCAUGACAUAACUGUGUUUACGCUUGAGCUUUCGGGUUGCAAGCCUUGGCCCUUGACAACCCCGACAAGCUACAUUUAACCGCCCACCUAGGGAAAAGCGGAGAAAGAUUUACUCAACCACACGUGGAAGAAAAAUGAGCAAAGGGUCCAGAAACCCCAGAAUCCCAGUUUCCACGCUGUUAUUUUUCCCUCCGUGCUUUAAACUUCUCCUCCAAAUGGUUAAAUGCAUUCCAGACGCUAAAAGGAGACCACCAUUACGGCUGAAGGGCCUGAACGAACCAUACGUUGUUUGGUGAGGUGGGUGUGCCUGGGAAGAGCCAACACUGAGGCACGUGACCAUUGGCUUUUACUCUAACUCAGGAGCUGGCUGUGUCCUUUCCCCACUGGCUGGGGACUGACCUCACGAUCUUAUUUACUUGGCUCCUCUGAGGAGAGACAUAGAGGACAGGAACAGAAAGAGGAAGGGAGAAAAAGGUCACUACUCCAGGCCAUCAAAUUCCCAGAAAAGAGCAGUGGGCCUUACUUUGUGUGAACAAAGGCUGACCUGGCGAGGAUGAUGAACACACUUACGUCAAAAUCUUACAAGGCUCAUGCGUUUAUGUGGAAGGAGGAGACAGAAAGAUUGUAAGAGCCAGAGGCCCUGGAUGAUUCCAAGGAGACAGCGUCUUCAGGGGACAACAAAACUGAUAAAGCCAUCUGGAGAGAUCAGAAGUUUAUGCCUAAGACCUGCACAGGUUCAAGCUAGGUGUGGUACCAGCACGGACAGGGGAAGCAGUCGUGAGUUUUCAUCCCUAACUAGGAAGCUGUGGGCAUUUGAUACCUGCUGGGAAAGGGAUAAUCAGUUUUCUCUAAUGCAGUGUCCUUGUAUAUAUCCACCAUACGCUAGGGUAGGCCCCAACCGGUAUUCGUUGGCCAACACAAAAGGGCUCCAUGUUUUUCUGCACAUGUUUUGAUUGGUGUGUGUUUUGAUUCACUAUAAAAGGGGAUGCUCACCCAGUAAUGGGGCCUGGAAAGAUGGGUCAACAAUUGAGCUGCUCCUGCAGACAACCUCAGUUCAGCUUUCAGCACCUACACAGUAGCUCACGACUAUCUAAGCCACCAGUUCCAAUGAGUCUGACCCCACCCCCACCCCCCGGGCCUCCACAGGCACAGGGCACAUAUGUGGUUCACAAACAUACAAACAGGCAAAGCACUCAUAUGCAUAAAACAAAGAUAAACAAUUCUUUCCAAAAAAUUAAAAUGUUUGAGUAGUAAUUAAAACAUUGAAAGCCAGAUGACUUGUUAUACUAAUGGAAUUUCUUCUUGCUCUGAUCUCCUGGGCUGGCUUCCUCCAAGUGACCAACUGUGACUUGGGAUAUAGAAUAUUAAUAAACCUCUUCUUCUCCAGGUU